Molecule: long non-coding RNA, 1591 nt
Organism: Diceros bicornis minor
Lineage: Eukaryota; Metazoa; Chordata; Mammalia; Perissodactyla; Rhinocerotidae
Exons: 7
Source: RefSeq, a predicted model, not a curated record
CACAGUGAUGUCAGCACCUUGGUGAGCACCCUGAGGUGGUUAUCGGGAUGGGGUCAGAUGAUCCCUAAUUACACCUGCCAGGCACAGAACAAGAAUGUGGCUGUCACUGCAGGAACCACACCAGCAUUCUCUGCCCACAUUGGGACACUGUUGGAGCUCUACAAAAUACCACAGAGAACUCAAUAUGGAACACUUUUUCUCUUUUGAUUCAGACAACCUAUGGAGAUUUUGAUCCUGUACUGAAAGGUUGCAAGUAAACCUCUAAUGAUUGUAGGGUCUAAUUAGCAACAGUGUCAACUCUUUUAACUAGAAAUAAUUGAUUAAAAACUUUCACUGUGAGAGGUAGGAAGAAGCAGGCUGUCUUUCUUUGUCUCUUCUUGAGCUCGAGGAAACUCCCUAGCACCCCUAAAGCAAACCUCAUUGCUCAAGGUGCAGCUCAGGUUUAGCCCCACAGCACUCCCUGGACGUGGAAUCUUCAGGAAUGGUUUAAACCUCACCAUGUGCUCUCUGAGGGCAGACAAGAAUGCCUGCUUCCUUAAGCGUGCAGAAUAGUAAACACUCCCCAAAUUGAACUUAUUCAGAGGAUGACUAAUAUAGAGGGGAAAAAAUCUAAUUGCUGGGCAACUCAGUAUCCCCACCAGUUCGAAUCUGGGUUUUCUGCCUUCAAUUUCCAUGCUCAUUUCAUUUCCCAAUUAUGUCUCCCUUUUAGCUCCACCCAUUCCUAAGAAACACCCAAUUUAAAAAAAGCACUGGAGCUCACGUGUCACUGGAUGAGAAAAGAAACUCUGUGUCACAGCAUGUAAUUCUGAACUAUAUGAUUUUCCUAAAGGUCUUGGACUUCAGGUGAAAGACGUUCUGUCAGCCAGGAUUCAGGAACAUCCCUCAGGAAGAGAGAGCUACCUGCUGCUUUGUCUGUGUAUUGUGCCCAGAGAGAGAAAUAUGUAAUCAGACAGAAAAGAAAAGUGUCUGUGGGGCUCAAGUUUGAGUUGAAACCAGGCUCAGGGUCCACCUGUCCUCGCUGAUCCGUGGAUUUCUGUGUGACCAGGCCUGGAUGAUGGCUGUGGAGUAGGAAAGAAGUAGAAAGAAAAGACCUUGGAGUGUAGAACCGCGAGAAGGUAACGGUACUUUCUUGCCUGGAUGUGUCAGAUGGCACAGGGCAGUGACUGUGCUCCUUGCUGCUGUCCGUGCAGACCUGCAGGCGCCCCCUCACCCAGGUCUGUGUGUUCACCCCACUUAGCCACUCACAGGCCUCCCUCCACAUCUUAAAGGAAGUCAGGCCUUACUUGUGAGGGGGUUGUCUCAGACGGGAGACACCGAGGAGAGCCCCUCCAGGCAUCAGAGCAGCCCCUUCAGCCUCUCCCUCAGGCUCCUCCCCCUCCACUCUCUCGCUUUCCACCCUCAGAAGGACCCCUGCUCAAUAUUCCACGUCCCCAUGUUCUUCCUCCCUCAGGCUUGAGAAGGGUGGGCAGCCAGUGGGGUGGACAUUGUCUGUACCUUCCACUCUGACCCCCGCAGGUCCUGGGCUGGACAGAGAGCAACUCUACUGGGAGCUGAGCCAUGAGAGCCAGGGCGUCCCCCACCUGGGCUCCUU